AUACAGCUGACGAGUCCCAGGUAGGAAGAAAUGCGCAUCCUGUAU
This 45-nucleotide non-coding RNA is filed under the name Schistosoma mansoni. The record is from RNAcentral. Lineage: Eukaryota; Metazoa; Platyhelminthes; Trematoda; Strigeidida; Schistosomatidae.